CUCGNAGCGGCAACGGGAAAGUAGCUUGCUACUUUUGCCGGCGAGCGGCGGACGGGUGAGUAAUGCCUGGGGAUCUGCCCAGUCGAGGGGGAUAACAGUUGGAAACGACUGCUAAUACCGCAUACGCCCUACGGGGGAAAGGAGGGGACCUUCGGGCCUUUCGCGAUUGGAUGAACCCAGGUGGGAUUAGCUAGUUGGUGGGGUAAUGGCUCACCAAGGCGACGAUCCCUAGCUGGUCUGAGAGGAUGAUCAGCCACACUGGAACUGAGACACGGUCCAGACUCCUACGGGAGGCAGCAGUGGGGAAUAUUGCACAAUGGGGGAAACCCUGAUGCAGCCAUGCCGCGUGUGUGAAGAAGGCCUUCGGGUUGUAAAGCACUUUCAG
Molecule: ribosomal RNA, 385 nt
Filed under: Aeromonas sp. '9.3 MW-17'
Lineage: Bacteria; Pseudomonadati; Pseudomonadota; Gammaproteobacteria; Aeromonadales; Aeromonadaceae
Description: bacterial SSU rRNA
Rfam family: Bacterial small subunit ribosomal RNA
Source: RNAcentral